GAUGAACGCUAGCUACAGGCUUAACACAUGCAAGUCGAGGGCCCGGCGCGCGGGUGAGUAACACGUAUCCCUCCUUCCCUUUACUCGAUGAUUGCCUUUCGAAAGAGCUAUUACUACCCGAUAGAAAGUAUGGGGGUGCGUUCCAUUCGUGUGUGGGUGAGGUAACGGCCAACCAAGCCUUCGAUGGAUAGGCGUGCUGAGAGGAAGGCCCACCAGAAUGGAACUGCGAUCCAGACCAAACUGGUACGGGAGGGAGGAGUGAGGAGUAUUGGUCAAUGGGGGCUAGCCUGAACAAGCCAAGUAGCGUGAAGAAGGAAGGCUUAUGGGUCGUAAACUUCUUGUAUAUAAGAAUAUGUAUUAUAUGAAUAAGGAUCGGCUAACUCCGUGCCAGCAGCCGCGGUAAUAC
RNAcentral lists this ribosomal RNA (406 nucleotides) under uncultured bacterium. RNAcentral describes it as "partial 16S ribosomal RNA". It matches the Rfam family "Bacterial small subunit ribosomal RNA", at positions 28 to 526 of the family's 1533-position model. The record is from RNAcentral.